ACACUUUAAAAUUAUGAUUAAAAUUUUCAUUAAAAUAUUUCACUAUCCCCCAAUUUAUAAUUGAGCAAAAUAAUUAAGAAAAGUAAUUAUUAACACUUAAAUAAAUCGUCUCUCUCAUCUCUCACAAAAUUCAUUGCCCAAAUUCACUAAUCCUCUCUCACACACAAAAUCAUUUGCCCAAAUUCUUCAAAUCCGUCAAAUUUCUUUGCCAAAAAUACUUGAAUUUCAUAUAGCCGCAAUUCAGUUCACAAUGGAUUUGAAGAAAGUUGAAGGAUACAUACACACACGAAGAAAUAAAGGGUUUUCAUUGUCGUUGAUAUUGAUUUUGUUGUUGUUGGUGGUGGUGGUGGUGGUGGCGGCGUUACAAUGUGAGGCUGUGAUGAUUGAGGUGUGUAGAGUUCAUAGGUGACGGAACUAUGCCCGUAGCUUUGCGGGGCAACCUAAAAUGCCUCAUUGAAAGGAAUCAAGUAUCUUGAGGAAAUCAACGAAAUGAAAUGAGAAGAAAGCAGCUAGUGAAAGGAGGUAGUAUGAGGGAAAGAAUUAUGUCUCUGGUGAUUAGUUGACAUUACAAAAUUAAGUUCUACUAUGCUAAGGUCCUAUGAAACAAGCCUGAUUUUUGUCGCAAGCCAUGGCCAACUAUAAGCAAUAGUGCUAAAGAUUUUGUUAAGAAAUUAUUAGUGAAAGAUCCGCAUUCUAGACUUACUGCUGCACAGGCCUUAUGAAAUUGAACGGUUGCCACAGAUGUUUAGGAUAUGAUUGGCGCUACUCUUUUAUCAGGAAAUUGCUCGGUUACAAUUUUGUUGACCAUUUUAUUAAAUUGAUCACGUCACUUUGCUGUAACAUCUGGUAUAACUCUUUAUAUAUAUCGUGUUUUAUGCUCCAUUCAUCUCUCAGAUUAAUUUAGCAUAUGUAUAGUCACAGAACUUCUUCACGCCUAUUUUGGAUGGAUUCAAUUGUUAAGAUAUUGUUUUUGGCAUCAUGUUAAGCCUCCUUUUCCCAUGCUUUAGAAAAAAGAAAAGGUACUUGCCAAGUUCACAAAUUGUUGCCAUGUAUCCUAUAUUGGAAGGAUUUUCUAGUUAGAAUUGAAAAUAUUUAUUCAGUUUUGAGAGUAUUAAAUAAUGAUGUAGGUUAAAACCAUUCUUGUCAAGGGUUGACUAUUGAACUCUCCUAGAAGUUGAUUUUUCUAUUCUUCAGGUAACUAUGUUAGGUCUUGGGUUAAUUUCUUGGUAGGUCGUUACUGAUGUUUUUGUCAAUUUAUCUGCUAAUUUAUGUAUGAAAUUCCCUGCACUAUACACCUGCUACUGAUAUCUAGAGCAUAAGAUGUAUCUAGGUGGAGUUUCCUGACAGGAAAGCCAUUAUUUUAGGACAAAAGAGUCAUUUACCAGUUGGAUUUGAUUAGUGAUCUUCUUGAGAUGCCAUCAGCCUAUAUCAUAUCUUGGGUUUUAAUGAGAAGGCAAGGAAGUAUUUGACAGACAUGACAAAAAGAGCCUAGUUCGUUUUGCUGAGAAAUUUUUCAAAAGCAGAUCCUUUGACGCUUCGACUAUUGCAGAGGUUGUUAGCAUUUGAUUCAAAGGAUUGCCCAACUGCUGAAGAGGAAAAUGCGGGUAAUCCCAUUUGAAACGGUGGCCACAAGUCAUUUCGAUAUAUUGAAGUCAACGAUCAAGACUUUUUUUAACAAUUAUAAUGUUUCAAUUUACACUUGGUGUUGUGGAAAUUUUUGUUAGUGAACAUCUCGAAAUGUUUUUUAUUACAUAAUACAGUACAUAUGUUUCUUUUUUAAAGUUAAUUGCAAACCUAUACAUUUGAUUUAUUAUUUUAAAAUAAAUUUGACAAUAAUUUAGUA
Molecule: long non-coding RNA, 1843 nt
Organism: Capsicum annuum
Lineage: Eukaryota; Viridiplantae; Streptophyta; Magnoliopsida; Solanales; Solanaceae
Exons: 7
Source: RefSeq, a predicted model, not a curated record